Molecule: small nuclear RNA, 106 nt
Filed under: Tupaia belangeri chinensis (Chinese tree shrew)
Lineage: Eukaryota; Metazoa; Chordata; Mammalia; Scandentia; Tupaiidae
Source: RNAcentral
GUGCUCACUUUGGCAGCACAUAUACUAAAAAUCGGAACUAUACAGAGAAGAUUAGUAUGGCCCCUGCACAAGGAUGACACACAUUCAUGAAGCAUUUCAUAUUUUU